UGUAUUCAGAGAAAUGUUUGAUUUCAGGAUCCAGAAUACAAUGUUUUCUCAGAGGACUCGAAGAAAGGAAGCUUCAAUCUCAUAUUCAUAUUCCGCUUCAUCUGUGUCUUUGCAGUGCUGACAUAUCGAGGCUCUCAUCAGGUCAAAGUAGAGGGUGUUAUUGGCGGAUCUGUUCUAUUGCAUUGUUCUUCAACUUAGCAUGAUCUGAUACUUCUGGACAUUCAUGUACACUAGAGACACAAUGGCAGCAAGAUUGUGUGUGAUAUAUCUGUAAGUAAAGGUUUAGUAGUGGAACAGGACUAUGAAGGUAUUUUUGGUGCAAAACUCCCAAGCAGCUGUAAAAGUGUAAUUUGUAGUUGUAAAUAAUAGCCACAAAUGUGUAUCAGUAAAUUUGUACUCGGAGAGCAAAUUUGCAA
Danio aesculapii is the source of this 416-nucleotide long non-coding RNA. RefSeq lists it as uncharacterized. Lineage: Eukaryota; Metazoa; Chordata; Actinopteri; Cypriniformes; Danionidae. The record is from RefSeq and is a predicted model, not a curated record. The transcript has 3 exons.